ACUAUAUAAAGACAACAUAAUAAAUUAUAAACGCAACAAAGUUAACACUGUUUUUGUGAUUGUAAAAUAAGGUAUUUAAAAAAAUAAAAACUGUAGCAAUAAGAUAUUUAGGAGUCUUGCAUCUUUUUUCAUUUGAAGAAUACCGAUCGUACUUGGUUUUCACACCAUUAGCACUACAGUAACUCCUCUCAAAAAUAUUUAGAAUCCAAGCUUUUAAUCUUGGCGUCCGUUGGUAAAACCUGUUCUAGUGAUAAAUAUUGUUUGAUUAAUAAAAGACAUGCUGACAAUGGAAAAAUCUGUUCAACAGAUAAUAUACUUAAGAUAUACCAAAAUGACGAUGUACAAAAGUUGAUAAAUGUGUAUAAGCAACAUUUUAAAAAAAGUUGUCAUAGAAAAACUGAUACUAGAUCUCGUUUUAGAAAACAAAUUUAAAGUUCAAUCAGAAGUUAAAUCAAACUAACUGUUUAGCGAAAUUCUACUAAAUGUGUAUAUUCCAACUAUUUUCAAACUAUCAAGAUUUUUGAAUAUAUCCAAAAAAAAGGAUGCUUCACUUCUUUGUGGAUUUGCUCAGUUUGUAAAAACGAUAGUCAAAAAGAUGUUAAAAAAAAGGUUUAGAACUUAAUGAAAAAAAUACCAGUUUUAAAAAGUUUUAAUGAAGUAGAUGUUAGUUAAUCAUGUUGUUAACAAAACUUUUGUAAAAAAAAUAUGAUGUCAAAACAGACUGAUAUUUGGUAAAGAAUAUUUUUUUGUAGUUUGUUAAAACUAAUGGUUCUUAAAAAUUCGUUAAGUUCCGUUGGCUAAAAAACACGUUUUAUAGAGAGUUUUGUAAAGCUUUAUAAAUGUUUUAAAAAACUAAAAAAUAUCGCAGUGUUGUUUAAAAGAUAUAUCGACUUAUUUAAAGAUUUCAUCAUUACAUGUCUGCAACUAAUUAUUAUUAUUUUAUUAUCAAUGUUCAUAAUAUUUUUAUUGUUAACAGAGUUUACUAAAAUAUACUUAACUUUAAAAAAGAUAAUAUACAGUACCGAUAAUAAAAAGAAACAUUAUGUUAAAACAAACAACUUAUUUGUAUGAAUAAAGAAAACAAUGAAUAAACUGUUGACAGUUUUUAUCGUUUGGUCUAGUUUACUUUUAUUUGUAUUUAUCUUUUCUGUUUGCAAAACUUGUAAAAAAAAUACUGUUUCAUUUUAUGUUUCUACGUCAAAACAGAACAUGACAAACAAAAAUUGAUUUUAAAAUGACAUUCAAAAGUCUUGUCUAAACAACAUUAUAAUAUUACCAACUACCAUUCUAUUAAAAAGUUAAACAUUUAUUCUUGAGAUAUAAGAUGUUUAACAUUUAUCCUUGAGAUAUAAGAUGUUUAACAUUGAUUCUUGAGAUAUAAGAGCAAGAUGUAUAACAUUUAGCCUGAUGAUAUAAGACUAAGAUGUUUAACAUUUAUCCUUGAGAUAUAACAUCAAGAUGUAAAACAUUUAUCUUUGAGAUAUCAGAGCAAGAUGUAAAACAUUUAACCUGAAGAUAUAAGACAAAGAUGUUUAACAUUUAUCCUUGAGAAAAAACAUCAAGAUGUUUAACAUUUAUCCUUGAGAUAUAAGACCAAGAUGUUUAAUAUUUAUUGUUGAGAUAUAAGAUCAAGAUGUAUAACAUUUAUCAUUGAGAUACAACAUCAAGAUGUAAAAUAUCUAUUCUUGAGAUAUAAGACCGAGAUGUAUAACAUUUAUUGUUGAGAUAUAUGACCAAAAUGUUUAUCAUUUAUUCUUGAGAUAUAAGAUCAAGACGUUUAACAUUUAUCCUUGAGAUAUAAGACUAAAAUGUUUAACAUUUAUCAUUGAGAUAUAAGACCAAGAUGUACAACUUUUAAACGUCAUUUAUUAACUGCAAUUAAUGAAUGGUUUUUAAUGUUUUGAAAGAAAAAAUUAUUAUUUUUAUAGAUAUUACUUAUAAAAUAGUUUAUUUUAUCAAAUUAACUUAACAAACAAAUAUAAAAUAUGCAUACAAAUAUUUAUAUCAAUAAAUUUAAUUAUUACUGAGUCCAACUCUGUCUAAGUAAUAAUGACCGGUUGGUGGAUUUUAACAGAUUAUUUUUUCGGAGUGGAAGUAAUGAGCAUUAAUAUUUUAGUCUGAUUUCAAUUAAAGUAUAAAAAAGUUCCCGAUAUCUCGAAGAAGCAAAGGAAAAUGCUUUAACUUAACAAUGUUCUACUAAAGCAAAUUCCCGUUAGGUCGAACUUUGGCUGAUAUGAAUUAGUUUAAGUUAGCCAAUUUUUUCUUUAUUCAAUGGUAAAGUAUAUACCAAUCAGAGCCGGGUGUCCCACCCCUAAAGCUGUCAUAUAAGCAUUUGAGUUGACAUAUUGAAUAACGAUCUAUAGAGGAAGGUUGCACGUGAUAAGCAGGUUUCUAAGAUCAGUGGCAUAGAAAGGUUUUUAAAUGUUUAAAAUAACCAACUUAUAAACAACAAGAAUAUUCUAAAUUUUUUUACGUUUAUAUGUAUGACAAAAAGAUUCUUUAAAGAAAAAAGAUGAUUCGUUUUGAGACGUUCAAGAUGAAAUGCGGUUUUUUAUUUAACAGGGUGGCCGCAGGUCCUCUAAAAUCCUCUAAAGUCCUCUUUUUUAAAAAACCUCCUCUAAAAUCCUCUAUUAUCAUCUAAAAAGUUAAAAAUAUCAUAAAAUCUCCUCUUUAACUCCUCUUUUUUAUUAUUUUUUAUUUCUUGAUGGUAGUAUAAUGUUCAAAAUACAUGGUCUGCAAAACUGCGUAACGUUUGAAAUGAGAAUUGGUUUGUAAAAAAAUCAAUUUAAGCAAAUCAAUGUCAUCUAAAAAAAAAUGACAUUGUUGACCCAUGUCAAAACCAAAGUUAUGUGAAAACAUAGACGUUAAACCUUGAAAAAAAAAUUCUCUGAAAUCCUCUAUUUUUAUUCAAAUUUUGUAGUUUUGCGAAAAAAAUCAUCUACAUUAAAUGCAAAAUCUCCUCUAAAAUUC
Molecule: non-coding RNA, 2970 nt
Organism: Hydra vulgaris (swiftwater hydra)
Lineage: Eukaryota; Metazoa; Cnidaria; Hydrozoa; Anthoathecata; Hydridae
Source: RefSeq, a predicted model, not a curated record